UACGGAGGGUGCAAGCGUUGUCCGGAAUCACUGGGCGUAAAGGGCGCGUAGGCGGCUCAUGAAGGCUGUGGUGAAAGUCCGGGGCUCAACCUCGGACCGGCCGUGGCGACUCGUGGGCUGGAGCACUGUAGAGGCAGGUGGAAUUCCGGGUGUAGCGGUGGAAUGCGUAGAGAUCCGGAAGAACACCAGUGGCGAAGGCGGCCUGCUGGGCAGUGGUUGACGCUGAGGCGCGACAGCGUGGGGAGCAAACGAGG
RNAcentral lists this ribosomal RNA (254 nucleotides) under uncultured bacterium. RNAcentral's name for it is "partial 16S ribosomal RNA". It matches the Rfam family "Bacterial small subunit ribosomal RNA", at positions 524 to 777 of the family's 1533-position model. The record is from RNAcentral.